UGGUUCUGGCAUCGAUGAAGAACGCAGCGAAAUGCGAUAAGUAAUGUGAAUUGCAGAAUUCAGUGAAUCAUCGAAUCUUUGAACGCACAUUGCGCCCCUUGGUAUUCCGAGGGGCAUGCCUGUUCGAGCGUCAUUACAACCCUCAAGCAUUGCUUGGUAUUGGGCUCCGCUGUUCACCCAGCGGGCCUUAAAAUCAGUGGCGGUGCCAUCGAGGCCCUGAGCGUAGUAAAUAUCCUCGCUAUAGGGACCCGGUGGACGCUGGCCAUCAACCCCCAACUUUCUAAGUUUGACCUCGGAUCAGGUAGGGAUACCCGCUGA
RNAcentral lists this unclassified non-coding RNA (318 nucleotides) under uncultured fungus. RNAcentral describes it as "partial contains 5.8S ribosomal RNA and internal transcribed spacer 2". The stretch from base 1 to 133 matches the Rfam family "5.8S ribosomal RNA", at positions 22 to 154 of the family's 154-position model. Lineage: Eukaryota; Fungi. The record is from RNAcentral.